UGGGGAAUAUUGGACAAUGGGCGAAAGCCUGAUCCAGCCAUGCCGCGUGUGUGAAGAAGGUCUUCGGAUUGUAAAGCACUUUAAGUUGAGAGGAAGGGCAGUAAGCGAAUACCUUGCUGUUUUGACGUUACCGACAGAAUAAGCACCGGCUAACUCUGUGCCAGCAGCCGCGGUAAUACAGAGGGUGCAAGCGUUAAUCGGAUUUACUGGGCGUAAAGCGUGCGUAGGCGGCUAAUUGAGUCGGAUGUGAAAUCCCCGAGCUUAACUUGGGAAUUGCAUUCGAUACUGGUUAGCUAGAGUGUGGGAGAGGAUGGUAGAAUUCCAGGUGUAGCGGUGAAAUGCGUAGAGAUCUGGAGGAAUACCGAUGGCGAAGGCAGCCAUCUGGCCUAACACUGACGCUGAGGUACGAAAGCAUGGGGAGCAAACAGG
This 429-nucleotide ribosomal RNA is filed under the name Pseudomonadota bacterium. RNAcentral's name for it is "Proteobacteria bacterium partial 16S ribosomal RNA". It matches the Rfam family "Bacterial small subunit ribosomal RNA", at positions 355 to 776 of the family's 1533-position model. Lineage: Bacteria; Pseudomonadati; Pseudomonadota. The record is from RNAcentral.